The sequence is a small nucleolar RNA, 127 nucleotides long. Its record names the gene SNORA71. It matches the Rfam family "Small nucleolar RNA SNORA71". From Rfam's summary of the family: The members of this family belong to the H/ACA class of snoRNAs which bind a number of proteins (including dyskerin, Gar1p and Nop10p) to form snoRNP complexes. This class of snoRNAs are thought to guide the sites of modification of uridines to pseudouridines by forming direct base pairing interactions with substrate RNAs. The record is from Ensembl.
UCCUGUAUCGAAAGUGGUCAUGGCGUCGUUGUUGCCAGGUCAUUGAUAGUACAGGAAGAACACCCUGUGAGCCUUUCCCGUGUUUGAAGGCCUGAACGUUCCUCUCAGACCCUGAUGCUCUCAGACA